Molecule: ribosomal RNA, 495 nt
Filed under: uncultured bacterium
Lineage: Bacteria
Description: partial 16S ribosomal RNA
Rfam family: Bacterial small subunit ribosomal RNA
Source: RNAcentral
GACGAACGCUGGCGGCGUGCCUAAUACAUGCAAGUAGAACGCUGAAGGAGGAGCUUGCUUCUCUGGAUGAGUUGCGAACGGGUGAGUAACGCGUAGGUAACCUGCCUGGUAGCGGGGGAUAACUAUUGGAAACGAUAGCUAAUACCGCAUAAUAGUAGAUGUUGCAUGACAUUUGCUUAAAAGGUGCAAUUGCAUCACUACCAGAUGGACCUGCGUUGUAUUAGCUAGUUGGUGAGGUAACGGCUCACCAAGGCGACGAUACAUAGCCGACCUGAGAGGGUGAUCGGCCACACUGGGACUGAGACAUGGCCCAGACUCCUACGGGAGGCAGCAGUAGGGAAUCUUCGGCAAUGGACGGAAGUCUGACCGAGCAACGCCGCGUGAGUGAAGAAGGUUUUCGGAUCGUAAAGCUCUGUUGUAAGAGAAGAACGAGUGUGAGAGUGGAAAGUUCACACUGUGACGGUAUCUUACCAGAAAGGGACGGCUAACUACGUG